RNAcentral lists this ribosomal RNA (406 nucleotides) under uncultured bacterium. RNAcentral describes it as "partial 16S ribosomal RNA". It matches the Rfam family "Bacterial small subunit ribosomal RNA", at positions 29 to 526 of the family's 1533-position model. The record is from RNAcentral.
AUUGAACGCUGGCGGCAGGCCUAACACAUGCAAGUCGAACGAGUGGCGGACGGGUGAGUAAUGUCUGGGAAACUGCUUGAUGGAGGGGGAUAACUACUGGAAACGGUAGCUAAUACCGCAUACCAUCAGAUGUGCCCAGAUGGGAUUAGCUUGUUGGUGGGGUAACGGCUCACCAGGGAGACGAGCCCUAGCUGGUCUGAGAGGAUGACCAGACACACUGGAACGGAGACACGGUCCAGACUCCUACGGGAGGCAGCAGUGGGGAAUAUGGCAAAAUGGGCGAAAGCCUGAUGAAGCCAGGCCGGGUGUAUGAAGAAGGCCUUCGGGUUGUAAAGUACGUUCAGCGGGGAGGCGUUACCCGCAGAAGAAGCACCGGCUAACUCCGUGCCAGCAGCCGCGGUAAUUC